Molecule: ribosomal RNA, 110 nt
Filed under: Candidatus Yonathbacteria bacterium RBG_16_43_6
Lineage: Bacteria; Candidatus Yonathiibacteriota
Also listed under: 1 other name
Source: RNAcentral
UUCGGUGGUUCAGCGCUGUGGUCACACCUGAUCUCAUUCCGAACUCAGAAGUUAAGCACAGUUGCGGCGAUGAUACUCUAUUUAUAGGGGAAAGUAGCUUGCCGCCGGAA